Molecule: non-coding RNA, 71 nt
Organism: Parelaphostrongylus tenuis
Lineage: Eukaryota; Metazoa; Nematoda; Chromadorea; Rhabditida; Metastrongylidae
Source: the annotation of a GenBank genome assembly
ACCUUGGUGGUGUAGUGGCAGCACGCGUCCUUAGUAUGGAUAAAGCGCGGGUUCGACGCCCGUCUGAGACC